GACAGAGGGUGCAAGCGUUGUUCGGAAUUACUGGGCGUAAAGCGUGUGUAGGCGGUCCACUAAGUCGGGUGUGAAAGCCCUGGGCUCAACCCAGGAAGUGCACUCGAAACUGGCGGGCUAGAGUAUCGGAGAGGUUGGUGGAAUUCUCGGUGUAGAGGUGAAAUUCGUAGAUAUCGAGAGGAACACCGGUGGCGAAGGCGGCCAACUGGACGAAUACUGACGCUGAGACACGAAAGCGUGGGGAGCAAACAGG
RNAcentral lists this ribosomal RNA (253 nucleotides) under uncultured bacterium. RNAcentral describes it as "partial 16S ribosomal RNA". It matches the Rfam family "Bacterial small subunit ribosomal RNA", at positions 524 to 776 of the family's 1533-position model. The record is from RNAcentral.